CAGGACGGCCCUGCCCUCCUCCCAGAAGCUGGAGCCUUCUCCCGACAGGCAUAGCCACCGUGCACCUGAGGACAUCCAGAUUCUCCACCUGGAGCCGGGGAAGCCCCCGCAGCCACUGGAGCAGGAAGAGCUAGAGCAGCUGCCCCUUCAGACCCCCUACUAUGAUCUGUGCACCUCCCCCUCCUACCGCCCCUCGGGCUCUCACCUAAAGGACGCAGACAUCCACUAUGCAGAGCUGGAGACCUCCGCCCUGGAGCUCGGCUCAGAGUCACGGACCACCGUGUCGGGGCCCAGAGAGGCUGUGGAAUACGCCACCAUCCAGCUGAGCCCACCCUAGCACAGGACCCCUAGCCACCCAGCCCCACCUCCGGACUACAGCCCACUGCCGUGUCAUGAAGAUACCCAAGCAAGCCCAUGAAGACCGCACAUGGAAAGGAAUGAGCCCUCCCAUCAACAGCCAGCACCAACUCGCCAGCCACGUAAGCGCACCACGCCAGAAGCAGAGCGGCAGAGCCAGUGAGGCCCUAGGGGAACCCCAGCCACUGGGCUUUUCAGCUAUGGUUGCAGUAGUCACUGAGCAGAGAAAAGCUUCACCUGCUUGGCUUCCCUGGAUUCCUAACGUACCGUGAAAGAUAACCAAAGUCAUUGGUGCACCAGGCACCCAUGCUGAGAUCAUCUGUUGCGCGGCGGCAGAGAACUAACACAGCUCUGAAGCCCUACCUCUACUGAGAGCAGAGAUCGUUUUCUCUCGCCAAGUAAAGGCAAUCGAGUCGCUUCCCUUUUAAAAGUUAAGUCUCUUUAGGGUCAACAGGCAGUUGGUUCCAGACUCAAAGUUCAACGUCCCUAUUGGGGCUUCUGGUUUUCUCUACCCUUGCUCCUCCCGGGGAUGCCUAAGUCUAUGUAACCCUGAGGGCUAGCUCGCUGUCCGUGGUCCUCAGGCAGCCAUUUCAACCUUUGCCACUAAAGUCGCUGUGGGUGGGGUGACCUGCGAUGACGCAGGUGCUCCUCUCCUGCUAGCCCUGACUUCUCCCACCAGCCCUCCUCUCGCAGGCUGGGGGCACUCUGGAUUUCCUGGAUGCCAGCCACAGGCCAGGAACCAGCAGGGGCAGCAGCGGGAAGGCAUCUCAGGCCCUCUCGUUCUAGAAGGUCCCCUCCUGCUCUGCGUUGUCUAUCCCCUGCCAGUGCACGAUGUUCUGACAGUUCCAAAGGGGCGGGGAUAGAGGGCAUGAAUUGCCUUGGGCAGGGUAGGCUCACCCCAUGGCCUCUAUCACCCCCUGGCAUUCUGGUUCCUAUGUGAAAGCUGGGGGCAGGGGGGACAGACAAGAAGCUCAACUGCUCCUUCUAAACUCUGGCUCUCCACCUUUUUGGGCUCUGCAGCUUCCUAGGAAGGAGUGCUAUCCUGUGUGUUUGGCAACUACCCUCAAGUCCUUGCCCUGUGUUUUCAUUCACACAUUCAUUUAGUCCUUUAUUUCCAGAUGCUCCUUGAUCACUACUCUGUGCCAAGCAUUUGCUUGAUGCCAGAGACACAGAAAAAAACCCACUACUCAUGGAGUGUGCAAUUAAGAGGGACCAACAUACCCAAAUAAUGAUAGUAAAGUCUUGCAUAUAAAGCACAAAAAUCAGUGUGUGCAGGCUUGGAUACAGCAGGAAAGAGGAAAUGAUCACCUCUCCCAGGAAGCCUCAGGACGAGGGAGGCCAGGUCUCCCCAAGCCCACAAAAUGUCAACAGAGCUUCCCCUAGAGAACAGCACCCAAGAUAACCUGGACUAGAGUAGCCACAGUGAAAGAGAGAAGUCACAAGACUGAUUUAAAGAGAGAGAGGCACUGUUACAAGGCACAGCAGUAGGCAAUUCACAGGAGCACAUCUGUAACCUGGGGAAAACCCCAAGAUCCCUUUAAGAGGCUGCUCAGUGUAUUAAAUGAGAUACAUCAAACACUCAACCCGGAGCUUCAUUUGCAGUGAGCUACUAUGUAAGCACAAUGUUAACUACUAUCCCUCAUUAAAGCUUCAAUCUAAUGUCAAAAGCCCCGAAUGAGAAUAAAGGUUCAGUCCUAUAGAUGUUUGCACAUGGAGAAAGGUUAAUUCAAUCGGUGCAUAAGCACCUACCACCUCCCUAAACACCCUAAGGUUAAGUUUUUAAAAUUCAGUGAUCAGCUAAGCCUUCUUGGAAUUUAAAGCUAAACUGUUUCUGUCUUAAGCUCUAGAUCUUGCCAAUCAAAAUCAUUCUGUUCAUAGGCUAUUGUAGCUGCGUCUGCCUCAAGUCGGCAAAUCCAUCCCACAACUCAACUGACUUCUUUGUUCUAGGCUCUAGCUGCUCUCCCUGGAGGCAUGGGUGCCAUUGACGCGGUGGGUACACGGCGCCCUGCCUUGCAUUUCAGCUUAAUAUCUCAAAAACAUUAUUCAGCCUCUUAGGAUACCAGCAGGAUUUAAGGAUGAGGCUUGGGGGAUGGGGCAUGAGAGGAGGAUUAGAUCCAAGGGGCUUGAUUUAUAGAAAGGUUUGUCUUUGGGGGGACUUCUUUGUCCCUCCUAGGAGAAACUAAGCCAGCCUGCGGAACUGUUUCCACUUGGUGGGAAAUAGGAUGGCGUGUAUUAACAGAGUGUCUAUGCUGUGACUGCUCUGUUCUAAAGGGUUCUCCCAAACAGUGAGGCAGUUUUGCUUUUGUGACUUCCGCCCAAAGCACCUCGUGGGGACCUCACCUGAGGGAUGGAGUUUAGAAUGGUCCAGGCUCUCAGGAGGCUACGGUGAGCUCCUUGUGUGAUUCGAAAUUUAGAAAUGUGAGCCCAUACUAGCCCGUUACUUGAACGCAAGCAGGAUUUCUAGCAUUCAAGUAAAUUGAUUCUGCUGGUUGUAUUUCUAUUCCUACCCUUCAUCUUUUCAAAAAAUGCAGUUAAAUUUGAAAGUAGCAGCCUGUCCUUGGCCAUGUUUGGAGAACCAAAGAAAAGAUUUAACUUCAGCCUGAGCUGAAGUUAAAAGAGAAAAGCUGUCCCCUCCCUCUGAGGGGCUGGUCCCCAAGUAGACAGGAAACCCUGGGGAGGAGUCUUGGCUGGUGGGGAAGCCUCAGGAGAUGGGGUGAGGCUGGGUUCCUGAUUCUCCUGAUUUCCCCUGUUCCAAUGGCAGCUCCCUUCCUGCCCCGGGGGACCUAUGAGAGCCCCCCCAUGCCACCCUCUUUUUUUUUAAGGGUGGGGAGGGCAGAGGGAGAGAGAGAGAGAAUCUCAAGCAGACUCCAUGCUGAGCAUAGAGCUCAAGGCAGACCUUGAUCCCAGGAUCCUGAGAUCAUGACCUGGGCAGAAAUCAAGAGUCAGAUGCUGAACUGACUGAGCCACCCAGGCGCCCCCUCCUUGCCCUUCCAACACCCCACCUGUCUCUUGAGCUGGUCUGAGUGGCUUUCUUUCUGUUGGUUCCAAGUCACCAUCCCUGACUAGAAGAAUGUCUUAGCCCAAAGGCACGAUUCUAAGAGUAAGAAUUCUGGGCAGAAAGUGGGGGAAAAAACCACACUUAGACACUCGUGAAGACACUUGUCUUCCUCUCAGCAGGCCAUUCGCUCCUUUGUUCAUUCCACAAAUAUCUAUUAAGUGCUUACUGUGUGCCAGGCACGAGGCAUAAAAACGAAUAAAGACACAGCCCCUGCCCUGCGGAGCUCCCUUCCGGCGGGGAGACAGAUGGGUAAGUGGGUUGCGUGAGCGUUAUGGGGAUAUCAGCAAGAGCCCCAACUCUGGAAUUCCCUCCUCCAAGCCACCCCGUUAAAAUU
Molecule: long non-coding RNA, 3749 nt
Organism: Mustela lutreola (European mink)
Lineage: Eukaryota; Metazoa; Chordata; Mammalia; Carnivora; Mustelidae
Exons: 4
Source: RefSeq, a predicted model, not a curated record